GGUUAAGUUAAUAAGGGCGCACGGUGGAUGCCUUGGCACUAGGAGCCGAAGAAGGACGUGACAAACGACGAAAUGCCUCGGGGAGCUGUAAGUAAGCUUAGAUCCGGGGGUG
Molecule: ribosomal RNA, 112 nt
Filed under: Streptococcus australis ATCC 700641
Lineage: Bacteria; Bacillati; Bacillota; Bacilli; Lactobacillales; Streptococcaceae
Description: partial 23S ribosomal RNA
Rfam family: Bacterial large subunit ribosomal RNA
Source: RNAcentral